GCGGGGGUUGCCUAGUGGCUAAGGCGCUGGCCUGGAGAGCCAGUUCCCCGUUUGGGGAGCGUGGGUUCGAAUCCCACCCCCCGCGCCA
This 88-nucleotide transfer RNA is filed under the name Candidatus Freyarchaeota archaeon. Its description in RNAcentral is "tRNA-Ser". It matches the Rfam family "tRNA". Rfam says of the family: Transfer RNA (tRNA) molecules are approximately 80 nucleotides in length. Their secondary structure includes four short double-helical elements and three loops (D, anti-codon, and T loops). The record is from RNAcentral. Lineage: Archaea; Promethearchaeati; Candidatus Freyarchaeota.